GGCAGCAAGAUCUCAAAGAGAUGCUCUUCCUCUUCUGCAUUCAAUAUUCAAAUUUCAAAAGAGGCUCCACCUAAAAAGGAAUGUAUGGACAAGCAUAUCUUCCCCUUUGAAGAUCAAAAUUCGUGCAUCCUUCCUAUUCAGAAACAAUCUGCGCGCUUUCCUCUUCUGAGAGCCAUCUGCGCGCCACCUUCCUUUUCUGCAACAACUUGGGCAGCAAGUUGCACAUGGGCAGC
RNAcentral lists this long non-coding RNA (233 nucleotides) under Manihot esculenta (cassava). RNAcentral's name for it is "long non-coding RNA (MESC_LNC007960)". Lineage: Eukaryota; Viridiplantae; Streptophyta; Magnoliopsida; Malpighiales; Euphorbiaceae. The record is from RNAcentral.